RNAcentral lists this ribosomal RNA (253 nucleotides) under uncultured bacterium. RNAcentral describes it as "partial 16S ribosomal RNA". It matches the Rfam family "Bacterial small subunit ribosomal RNA", at positions 524 to 776 of the family's 1533-position model. The record is from RNAcentral.
UACGGAGGGGGCUAGCGUUAUUCGGAAUUACUGGGCGUAAAGCGCACGUAGGCGGACUGAAAAGUCAGAGGUGAAAUCCCAGGGCUCAACCUUGGAACUGCCUUUGAAACUCUCAGUCUUGAGGUCGAGAGAGGUGAGUGGAAUUCCGAGUGUAGAAGUGAAAUUCGUAAAUAUUCAAAAGAACACCAGUGGCGAAGGCGGCUCACUGGCUCGAUACUGACGCUGAAAUGCGAAAGCGUGGGGAGCAAACAGG